GCCUUCGGUGGCUCAGAUGGAUAGAGCGUCUGCCAUGUAAGCAGGAGGUCCCGGGUUCGAGUCCCGAUCAGGGCA
RNAcentral lists this transfer RNA (75 nucleotides) under Schistocerca americana (American grasshopper). RNAcentral describes it as "tRNA-Thr". It matches the Rfam family "tRNA". From Rfam's summary of the family: Transfer RNA (tRNA) molecules are approximately 80 nucleotides in length. Lineage: Eukaryota; Metazoa; Arthropoda; Insecta; Orthoptera; Acrididae. The record is from RNAcentral.